UAUUCAGCGCACCCGUGUGCGCCGCGCACCCGUUCAUCUUCGCCGUCCAUUUGAUGCAGACUUUUGACUUUUUCAAAAUGAAUGGCAGAGAUGGACGGGGGCGCGGCGCACCCGGGUGCACUGUAUA
This 127-nucleotide microRNA precursor is filed under the name Fragaria vesca subsp. vesca. RNAcentral describes it as "Fragaria vesca miR477b stem-loop (fve-MIR477b)". Its record names the gene fve-MIR477b. The record is from miRBase by way of RNAcentral. Lineage: Eukaryota; Viridiplantae; Streptophyta; Magnoliopsida; Rosales; Rosaceae.